UGGCGAAUAUUGCACAAUGGGCGCAAGCCUGAUGCAGCCAUGCCGCGUGUGUGAAGAAGGCCUUCGGGUUGUAAAGCACUUUCAGCGAGGAGGAAGGUGGUGAGCUUAAUACGCUCAUCAAUUGACGUUACUCGCAGAAGAAGCACCGGCUAACUCCGUGCCAGCAGCCGCGGUAAUACGGAGGGUGCAAGCGUUAAUCGGAAUUACUGGGCGUAAAGCGCACGCAGGCGGUUUGUUAAGUCAGAUGUGAAAAUCCCCCGGGCUCAACCUGGGAACUGCAUUUGAAACUGGCAAGCUAGAGUCUCGUAGAGGGGGGUAGAAUUCCAGGUGUAGCGGUGAAAUGCGUAGAGAUCUGGAGGAAUACCGGUGGCGAAGGCGGCCCCCUGGACGAAGACUGACGCUCAGGUGCGAAAGCGUGGGGAGCAAAACAGGAUUAGAUACCCUGGUAGUCCACGCUGUAAACGAUGUCGAUUUGGAGGUUGUGCCCCUUGAGGCGUGG
RNAcentral lists this ribosomal RNA (499 nucleotides) under uncultured bacterium. RNAcentral describes it as "partial 16S ribosomal RNA". It matches the Rfam family "Bacterial small subunit ribosomal RNA", at positions 355 to 842 of the family's 1533-position model. The record is from RNAcentral.